AUUUUUCCUGUAAAGACGAAUGAAUUAAUAUUAUUUUGGGAAUUUCAAAAAGUGUUUACUUUUCUGUUUACAAUUUGUAUGCAUUUCUAUGCUUGUUCUUCUCAACGCAAAACUGUUACCUAAACCGAAAAAAACUAACUGUAAACUAGUGUCGUAAUCUUACAUUCUAUCAUUCUUGUAUGCAUGCAUUGAACUGUAAACAGUUUGUCAGUUCAGUUCCAUGAAAAUUACGAAGAGGCAAGACAGCUCAGUUACAUAAGUAUGUACCGAUGACAGUUUUAUUUCAGUAAUUUUAAAUUUAGUAGUGCGAGUAUUAAAACUGUUGUGUUAUAUAAUAUAAAUAAGUUAAAUAUUAAUUGGUAGAAAACUUAUGCAAAAUGGAUUGGGGAUUCUUAACCUCGCAUCUUAUAGGGCAUCCUGCUGAUCCAAGAGCCUUGGGUCCAUAGAGGAGAGGUUAAAGGCCUCAAGUUGGAGUGCAACAAGAGUUCCUGACGCAGGAUCUGGUGGCGGUGCAAGCCAGGGACUUCGAAGGCAAGGACUUCGUACUGGCUUCAGCCUACUUUUCAGGGGAGGCAUCCACGGCACCCCCGGUAGUGGUGGAAAAGCUGGUGGAGCAUUGCCGGAGACUCAAGCUUCCCCUCAUCAUUGGCUGUGAUGCGAACGCCCACCACCUAGAAUGGGGCAGUACCAAUUGCAACACUAGAGAAAAUGGAACAGUGUUGGUGAUCAGCUGAAAAUGUUUUAGUCUGUUGCAGAGAUAAAGAGAUCUCCAACUCCAGUUGACUGGAUUGGGGAGGUUUUGACGUUUAGCAAUUGGAAACGAGCGAUGGCCAGAUUGAAAUCUUACCAAAAAAAUAUGUAAACGGAGGGAUUUGUCGCAUCGUUCAUGACCUCUUAUAAAAAAUGUA
Bactrocera neohumeralis is the source of this 908-nucleotide long non-coding RNA. RefSeq lists it as uncharacterized. The transcript is spliced from 5 exons. Lineage: Eukaryota; Metazoa; Arthropoda; Insecta; Diptera; Tephritidae. The record is from RefSeq and is a predicted model, not a curated record.